RNAcentral lists this ribosomal RNA (184 nucleotides) under uncultured bacterium. Its description in RNAcentral is "partial 16S ribosomal RNA". It matches the Rfam family "Bacterial small subunit ribosomal RNA", at positions 1316 to 1500 of the family's 1533-position model. The record is from RNAcentral.
CUUCAUGAAGCUGGAAUUGCUAGUAAUGGCAGGUCAGCAUACUGCCGUGAAUACGUUCCCGGGCCUUGUACACACCGCCCGUCACACCAUGAGAGUUGGAAAUACCCGAAGCCUGUGAGCUAACUUUUAGAGGCAGCAGUCGAAGGUAGAGCCAAUGAUUGGGGUGAAGUCGUAACAAGGUAAC